UACGUAGGGUGCGAGCGUUAAUCGGAAUUACUGGGCGUAAAGCGUGCGCAGGCGGCUUUGCAAGACAGAUGUGAAAUCCCCGGGCUCAACCUGCGAACUGCAUUUGUGACUGCAAGGCUAGAGUACGGCAGAGGGGGAUGGAAUUCCGCGUGUAGCAGUGAAAUGCGUAGAUAUGCGGAGGAACACCAAUGGCGAAGGCAAUCCCCUGGGCCUGUACUGACGCUCAUGCACGAAAGCGUGGGGAGCAAACAGG
RNAcentral lists this ribosomal RNA (253 nucleotides) under uncultured bacterium. Its description in RNAcentral is "partial 16S ribosomal RNA". It matches the Rfam family "Bacterial small subunit ribosomal RNA", at positions 524 to 776 of the family's 1533-position model. The record is from RNAcentral.